GACGAACGCUGGCGGCGUGCUUAACACAUGCAAGUCGAACGGAAAGGCCCUGCUUUUGUGGGGUGCUCGAGUGGCGAACGGGUGAGUAACACGCGAGUAACCUGCCCUUGACUUUGGGAUAACUUCAGGAAACUGGGGCUAAUACCGGAUAGGAGCUCCUGCUGCAUGGUGGGGGUUGGAAAGUUUCGGCGGUUGGGGAUGGACUCGCGGCUUAUCAGCUUGUUGGUGGGGUAGUGGCUUACCAAGGCUUUGACGGGUAGCCGGCCUGAGAGGGUGACCGGCCACAUUGGGACUGAGAUACGGCCCAGACUCCUACGGGAGGCAGCAGUGGGGAAUAUUGCACAAUGGGCGGAAGCCUGAUGCAGCAACGCCGCGUGCGGGAUGACGGCCUUCGGGUUGUAAACCGCUUUCGCCUGUGACGAAGCGUGAGUGACGGUAAUGGGUAAAGAAGCACCGGCUAACUACGUGCCGGCAGCCGCGGUGAUACGUAGGGUGCGAGCGUUGUCCGGAUUUAUUGGGCGUAAAGGGCUCGUAGGUGGUUGAUCGCGUCGGAAGUGUAAUCUUGGGGCUUAACCCUGAGCGUGCUUUCGAUACGGGUUGACUUGAGGAAGGUAGGGGAGAAUGGAAUUCCUGGUGGAGCGGUGGAAUGCGCAGAUAUCAGGAGGAACACCAGUGGCGAAGGCGGUUCUCUGGGCCUUUCCUGACGCUGAGGAGCGAAAGCGUGGGGAGCGAACAGGCUUAGAUACCCUGGUAGUCCACGCUGUAAACGGUGGGUACUAGGUGUGGGGUCCAUUCCACGGGUUCCGUGCCGUAGCUAACGCUUUAAGUACCCCGCCUGGGGAGUACGGCCGCAAGGCUAAAACUCAAAGGAAUUGACGGGGCCCCGCACAAGCGGCGGAGCAUGCGGAUUAAUUCGAUGCAACGCGUAGAACCUUACCUGGGUUUGACAUGGAUCGGGAGCGCUCAGAGAUGGGUGUGCCUCUUUUGGGGUCGGUUCACAGGUGGUGCAUGGCUGUCGUCAGCUCGUGUCGUGAGAUGUUGGGUUAAGUCCCGCAACGAGCGCAACCCUUGUUCACUGUUGCCAGCACGUUAUGGUGGGGACUCAGUGGAGACCGCCGGGGUCAACUCGGAGGAAGGUGGGGAUGACGUCAAGUCAUCAUGCCCCUUAUGUCCAGGGCUUCACGCAUGCUACAAUGGCUGGUACAGAGAGUGGCGAGCCUGUGAGGGUGAGCGAAUCUCGGAAAGCCGGUCUCAGUUCGGAUUGGGGUCUGCAACUCGACCUCAUGAAGUCGGAGUCGCUAGUAAUCGCAGAUCAGCAACGCUGCGGUGGAUACGUUCCCGGGGCC
RNAcentral lists this ribosomal RNA (1346 nucleotides) under uncultured bacterium. RNAcentral describes it as "bacterial SSU rRNA". It matches the Rfam family "Bacterial small subunit ribosomal RNA", at positions 28 to 1381 of the family's 1533-position model. The record is from RNAcentral.